This is a long non-coding RNA of Temnothorax curvispinosus, 690 nucleotides long. RefSeq lists it as uncharacterized. Lineage: Eukaryota; Metazoa; Arthropoda; Insecta; Hymenoptera; Formicidae. The transcript is spliced from 4 exons. The record is from RefSeq and is a predicted model, not a curated record.
UACUUAUUUUAUUUAGCAACGAAUAUUACGGAGGGCUGUGGGCUACAUUUAAUUUCGACGGCCUGCAAAAGUGGAUAGAAGAUUUAAAAACGGUUAAAAGUAAUACUAGAAAUACAAAUGUCGAUUUGAAGGGGGACGAAAAAUUUUUGAAAGCUAGUGACCAGUACUUAUUCCACAGUCGAGAACAUCGGAGAAAUCUGGUAUAUUUCCAACGAUGCGGACCUACCUGACGUCUCUUCGAAGGACACCCAGACCGAGAGUUCUGGAGAUAGUGCCGCAGUCGAUGGCGCGGAAAAGACUGAUCCUGAUAAGGCUGACAGAAAGGAGAAUGUGAAACAGUGAAGCAUAGACCGUAUCAAGAAAAAGUAUAGAAGAUUUAAUAUCGAUAUGGCGCCUAAAUUAUUAUUCCCCCGCGGUGAAUUAGUGGAACUGUUGAUUUCUAGCAACAUUGCGCGUUAUGCUGAAUUCCGUGCGGUCUCUAGGGUUGCCACUUUUAUGGACGGUAAACUUACCCAAGUUCCUUGUUCUCGAGCCGAUGUGUUCGCUAACAAAACGGUUAGCGUGAUCGAGAAGAGAAUGUUGAUGCACCUUCUGACAUCUUGCAUGGAAUAGGGUGCCGAUAGUCCAGAAUUUGAUGGUUUCCGUGAUAAAACGUUCUUAGAAUAUCUUAAUACGAAAAAUCUUACGCCU